RNAcentral lists this unclassified non-coding RNA (235 nucleotides) under Hevea brasiliensis (rubber tree). Lineage: Eukaryota; Viridiplantae; Streptophyta; Magnoliopsida; Malpighiales; Euphorbiaceae. The record is from RNAcentral.
AUUACUAUUUCAAUUAAAUUCAACGUAUUAGAUUGUAUAUUUCCUUCCUUAGCUGCUACACAAACAGAAUGUAAGUGCUAAAAGAAAGAGUAGCACUUGAAUGCUUAAUUCAAAGCUUCUAACAUUUAUUCCCACAUCAACCUAGCAGCCCAAGCAAGGCCCUUUAAAUCCCUAAUCAGCAUUCGUAUUAUGCAACUUCAAAUUGGAAAAACUACGCCUAUCAGCUAAAACUAUA